UAACGCGUUAAGUCGACCGCCUGGGGAGUACGGCCGCAAGGUUAAAACUCAAAUGAAUUGACGGGGGCCCGCACAAGCGGUGGAGCAUGUGGUUUAAUUCGAUGCAACGCGAAGAACCUUACUUAUUCUUGACAUCCAGAGAACUUUCCAGAGAUGGAUUGGUGCCUUCGGGAACUCUGAGACAGGUGCUGCAUGGCUGUCGUCAGCUCGUGUUGUGAAAUGUUGGGUUAAGUCCCGCAACGAGCGCAACCCUUAUCCUUUGUUGCCAGCGGUCCGGCCGGGAACUCAAAGGAGACUGCCAGUGAUAAACUGGAGGAAGGUGGGGAUGACGUCAAGUCAUCAUGGCCCUUACGAGUAGGGCUACACACGUGCUACAAUGGCGCAUACAAAGAGAAGCGACCUCGCGAGAGCAAGCGGACCUCAUAAAGUGCGUCGUAGUCCGGAUUGGAGUCUGCAACUCGACUCCAUGAAGUCGGAAUCGCUAGUAAUCGUAGAUCAGAAUGCUACGGUGAAUACGUUCCCGGGCCUUGUACACACCGCCCGUCACACCAUGGGAGUGGGUGCAAAAGA
RNAcentral lists this ribosomal RNA (570 nucleotides) under Enterobacter asburiae. RNAcentral describes it as "bacterial SSU rRNA". It matches the Rfam family "Bacterial small subunit ribosomal RNA", at positions 853 to 1427 of the family's 1533-position model. The record is from RNAcentral. Lineage: Bacteria; Pseudomonadati; Pseudomonadota; Gammaproteobacteria; Enterobacterales; Enterobacteriaceae.